This 486-nucleotide small RNA is filed under the name Pan troglodytes (chimpanzee). RNAcentral's name for it is "processed transcript". The record is from RNAcentral. Lineage: Eukaryota; Metazoa; Chordata; Mammalia; Primates; Hominidae.
AGAUUGAGAUGCAACUGGGAACUGGCCUCUUUCAAUACAGUGCACCCCACAUCCUCACUCGUUGCUCUUACUGGCCUACCUCAGGUAUAAUGGCCUUACAGGUCUGAGUCAUCAUCUGUAACAGAGAAGGCUGAGAAGAUGGUGUCAGUAGAUUCUGGGGACAUUUUAAUCUAUUAAGCUGCUUUUGAGACGUACUACAGUUUCCUGAGGAGGUGGCCAAAAGACUGGGGUAUGGCCGUCAAUGUGUACUCCACAUCUGUGACCAGUGAAAAUCUGAGUCGCCAUGAUAUGCUUGCAUGGGUCAACGACUCCCUGCACCUCAACUAUACCAAGAUAGAACAGCUUUGUUCAGGACCACCAUCAUAUAUGUGGUUCAUCGUUGACCAAACCAUCGUUAUGCAGCCCAUAGCUGUAGCUUGUGAUUAGAUUAAGGAGGAGAGCUGGAGGCCCUGAACUAGUCAGACUGUCUGGAGCUGAAGUCAAGAA